AGAGUUUGAUCCUGGCUCAGGAUGAACGCUGGCGGCGUGCCUAAUACAUGCAAGUCGAACGAGGUGCUUUUGUAGCAAUACGAGAGUAUCCUAGUGGCGAACGGGUGAGUAACGCGUUGGUGACCUACCCCAAAGUGUGGGAUAACAGUCCGAAAGGAUUGCUAAUACCGCAUGUGGUCAUUGGAUUUAGAAACUGAUGACUAAAGGAGCAAUUCGCUUUGGGAGGGACCUGCGUCCCAUCAGCUAGUUGGUGAGGUAAUGGCUCACCAAGGCGACGACGGGUAGGGGACCUGAGAGGGUGGCCCCCCACAAUGGAACUGAAACACGGUCCAUACACCUACGGGUGGCAGCAGUAGGGAAUAUUGCACAAUGGGCGAAAGCCUGAUGCAGCAACGCCGCGUGUGCGAUGAAGGCCUUCGGGUCGUAAAGCACUUUUCUGAGAGAUGAGAAAGGACAGUAUCUCAGGAAUAAGUCUCGGCUAACUACGUGCCAGCAGCCGCGGUAAUAC
RNAcentral lists this ribosomal RNA (508 nucleotides) under uncultured bacterium. Its description in RNAcentral is "bacterial SSU rRNA". It matches the Rfam family "Bacterial small subunit ribosomal RNA", at positions 8 to 526 of the family's 1533-position model. The record is from RNAcentral.